UUAUUCUAGGAAGAAUAAGGUGUUUCACUAAAUUCAUAAUAUACAGAGAUAAUUACAAGUUCAUACUUUAGAGUUUCAGCAAAAAAAAAUAAAAAAAUACACCAUUUGAAUCCAACAAUAGUUUUUUCUCCUCCUGACAAAUCUAGUUCUUUCUGUGUCAAUUUCUGCGUCCAAGGAUAUCAUAAUUAGAUGAGUUAGAACAAAGCAUCUUCAUUGACUGUAGAAAGUCAGUUCUUGUUGACUCCAGCAAGUUUCAUCCAUUGGAUACUAGUUCUGCAGCCAUGUAAUUUGUGGAUUGUAGAUUUAAAUUGAACUGCAGAACAAAAGUUUUUUUUUUGUCAAAAUAAACUUUUUUAUUCAACCAAGUAAAGAUUUAUACACAGCUAACUCUUUUGGACCCAAGAGUUAGUUCUCUAGGAAAAUUAAAACUACGCUAUAAUCUAUCUAUGCUGGGUAAUAAUUUAACCUAUCUAGUAUACUCUUCCAUUUUGCAAUUGCUCUGUCCUUUAAUAUGUAACUGUAUUACAAUUUCCUUCACUCUCUGUCUAGCCUCUUGCUUCCUUUGUUGAAAUCUUCUUGCAUUUCUCUCUGCCCAGACAUGAUAGACAGUUGUUGCAAAGAGAAAUCAUAGAAUAUGAGUCCUUGGUCGAUUGUUCCUUUUAAUUCUGCAGCCAUGUAAUUUGUGGAUUAUAGAUUUAAAUUAAAACUGCAGAAUAAAGUUGCAUAAAACUUAGGCAUAUACUCAUGAAAUGGGAUUAGUUUAUCUAUAGUUGUAAUGUAAAAAAUGAAGGAUAAAAUGAACCUUGAUUCUUUAGUCAAAUUCUCAUUUCUAGCUCUUUGCUCACAUGCUAGUUCCUAACUUCCUGUUAGUAAGUAAAACACACAUUCAGACAAGUAAACUUGGAUUUGGUUUUUGGAAAAUACUAGACAAACAUAUAAAACCAUUUGAAACCUUUCCAGUUCAAAUGUACCCUUCUCCUCAGUAAUAAGUUUUUUUUCUCCUCAAGUUCAGUGAAUUUCUACUAAAAAUGGCUGUAAAUCUUUUGUUCUUGCAAGUUUGCUUGUAGAGUUGCAACGCAGAAUACUUACUGCUAGUUGUGAAAGCAAUAUUUUCACCUACUUAACCAUGCUCGAUCCAACUACAAGUAUAAAUGAAAAAGAUGAAUGUUUGAACAUCUUAUUAAUACAAUAGAAUUCACAUUUGUCUUUAAUGGUGAAAAAUAAGCUUAGCUACUUAUGGAGAUCACAAAUAUUAAAAGUUCAUUUAAUUCUUGCCAUAUACAUUAGAUGCAGUUCUACUUUUCAUCUGUAGAUCACCUCCCCAGCUCGUCUAAUUUUAAGAACCAUCAAUACUCCAUUUCUUAUUCUAAUAAACUUGAAUUAGAUAUUUCUAAUCAAAAAAUGCCGGAGCAAUAAAUUUAUGUAAUUUAAGUCAAAACUAGAUAAUACAUUGGCCCUAGAAGAACAGAGAAUACAUAUCCAAUAUUCUUCAUUUUUUUACUAAACAUGUUAUUUUAGAAUCUUUAAACUAGUUUAAAUAUCCUCCACAUAAUAUCUUCAUUUUCAAAUAAAACAUUGAUAACGAGUAACAUCACAACUUAGAAGCCUCAUUAGCUCAGAAAUACUUCUAUUGUUCUUCGAAGUUUAACAUUUGAAACGACUCUAAUUUAACCCAUGAUGAAAAACAUUAAAGAUUUUCAACCUACGAAUGUCUAAAAUUGAUUUAUCAUCUUUUAACAAUUGAAAAUACUACUUGUAAAAUACCAUAUAUAAGUCAUUAUUGUCCAAGCGACAAUAUUUCUAUAUGACAUUUUAUCAAACACUUCAUAGGCUUCUUAAGUUAGUUCUAUAGGAGCAAACACCAAAAGUAAUAUUGUCUAAACAAAUGAAUUCAAAUCAAACUAGAUCACUAGCAAUUCAGUAAAAACAAACGAAUAAGAAAUAAACUCAUACUCCUCUUAUUACAAAAUGAGCAUCAAACAAAUGCCAAACUAAAAAAACCAAAACCAAAUUAUAAACAAUUAUUUACUGUACUUAGCUACCUACCUUCUCCGAUGGGGAAAAAAAUCCAUAAUAUACCUGCAGUAUUCUAACACUCGUACAUGAACUAACCCAUGAGCCAAAAUAAAUCUUCUGCUAGCAUUGAUAGCCUCAUAAUCCCAAGUUUUAUUCAUGCCAAAAUGGAAUAAAGAAAAAUAAUCAACAAUUACCAAAUCUUAUAAGAAUGUGAAUAGCAAAUGACAAAAAAAUAUUGAUUGUGAAAGUACCAUAGAGGUAGCCGGCAGUGACGAAGAUGUAGGUGGUAAGGCAAAGAGUUCUGAUCUACAACCGGUUAUUCGAGAUUUGCCAAUGUUAUAAUGUUUGUGUUCAUCCUUUUCUUCCCCUUUGGUUGUAGUCUGUAGAUAUGGGCUAACGAGAU
This 2419-nucleotide long non-coding RNA is filed under the name Nicotiana tabacum (common tobacco). RNAcentral's name for it is "long non-coding RNA (NTAB_LNC000389)". Lineage: Eukaryota; Viridiplantae; Streptophyta; Magnoliopsida; Solanales; Solanaceae. The record is from RNAcentral.